Molecule: ribosomal RNA, 392 nt
Filed under: uncultured bacterium
Lineage: Bacteria
Description: bacterial SSU rRNA
Rfam family: Bacterial small subunit ribosomal RNA
Source: RNAcentral
AGCGAACGCUGGCGGCAGGCCUAACACAUGCAAGUCGAACGAUUAAGACUUCCUUCGGGAAGUGUGUAAAGUGGCGCACGGGUGAGUAACACGUAAGUAAUCUGCCUUCGAGUGGGGAAUACCUUCGGGAAACCGAAGAUAAUACCGCAUAAUGCAGCGGCACCGCAAGGUGACAGUUGUUAAAGGAGCAAUCCGCUUGAAGAGGAGCUUGCGGCAGAUUAGCUAGUGGUAAGGUAAUGGCUUACCAAGGCUACGAUCUGUAUCCGGUCUAAGAGGACGGUCGGACACACUGACACUGAAUAACGGGUCAGACUCCUACGGGAGGCAGCAGUCGGGAAUUUUGGGCAAUGGGCGAAAGCCUGACCCAGCAACGCCGCGUGAAGGAUGAAGUA